Molecule: transfer RNA, 73 nt
Filed under: Aedes aegypti (yellow fever mosquito)
Lineage: Eukaryota; Metazoa; Arthropoda; Insecta; Diptera; Culicidae
Rfam family: tRNA
About the family: Transfer RNA (tRNA) molecules are approximately 80 nucleotides in length. Their secondary structure includes four short double-helical elements and three loops (D, anti-codon, and T loops).
Source: Rfam by way of RNAcentral
CCUCUCGUGGCGUAGGGGUAACGCGCCCUAUCUAGAGAACAAAGAGUCGUGAGUUCGAUUCUCACCGAGAAGA